This 72-nucleotide transfer RNA is filed under the name Dipodomys ordii (Ord's kangaroo rat). It matches the Rfam family "tRNA". From Rfam's summary of the family: Transfer RNA (tRNA) molecules are approximately 80 nucleotides in length. The record is from Rfam by way of RNAcentral. Lineage: Eukaryota; Metazoa; Chordata; Mammalia; Rodentia; Heteromyidae.
GGGAAGGUGGCUCAGUGGUAGAGUGCUUGCCUUGCAUGCAUGAGGCCUUGGGUUUGAUUCCUCACCACCACA